AACCUGCAGUCUUGGAGCCGUGCUGUGUUGGUGGCACCCGAGGGCACACCAGACUUGCACAAAAAGCAAACACCGGAGGAAGCUGAGGCAUGGCUGCUCGAGAGCCAGCCUGCCAUGUGCAAUGUUCCUCUGAUAGUUUAAAAAA
This 145-nucleotide small nucleolar RNA is filed under the name Myotis brandtii (Brandt's bat). The record is from RNAcentral. Lineage: Eukaryota; Metazoa; Chordata; Mammalia; Chiroptera; Vespertilionidae.